RNAcentral lists this transfer RNA (92 nucleotides) under Candidatus Thorarchaeota archaeon. RNAcentral's name for it is "tRNA-Sec". It matches the Rfam family "Selenocysteine transfer RNA". The record is from RNAcentral. Lineage: Archaea; Promethearchaeati; Candidatus Thorarchaeota.
GGCCCCCUCUAGGGACGGUGGACUGUCCCCGUGGGCUUCAAACCCAUGAGUUCGAUAUGAACUAAGAGUUCGAUUCUCUGGGGGGGCCGCCA